This 406-nucleotide ribosomal RNA is filed under the name uncultured bacterium. RNAcentral describes it as "partial 16S ribosomal RNA". It matches the Rfam family "Bacterial small subunit ribosomal RNA", at positions 30 to 526 of the family's 1533-position model. The record is from RNAcentral.
AUUGAACGCUGGCGGCAGGCCUAACACAUGCAAGUCGAACGAGUGGCGGACGGGUGAGUAAUGUCUGGGAAACUGCGUGAGGGAGGGGGAUAACUACGGGAAACGGUAGCUAAUACCGCAUAAUAUGGGAUGUGCACAGGUGGGAUUAGCUAGUAGGUGGGGUAAAGGCUCACCUAGGCGACGAUCCCUAGCUGGUCUGAGAGGAUGACCAGCCACACUGGAACUGAGACACGGUCCAGACUCCUACGGGAGGCAGCAGUGGGGAAUAUUGCACAAUGGGCGCAAGCCUGAUGCAGCCAUGCCGCGUGUAUGAAGAAGGCCUUAGGGUUGUAAAGUACUUUCAGCGGGGAGGCGUUACCCGCAGAAGAAGCACCGGCUAACUCCGUGCCAGCAGCCGCGGUAAUUC